AACGAACGCUGGCAGCGUGCCUAACACAUGCAAGUCGAACGAGAAAGUCCCUUCGGGGGCGAGUAAAGUGGCAUACGGGUGAGUAAUGCAUAGAUAAUCUGCCUUGAAAUGGGGGAUAACUUCGCGAAAGCGGGGCUAAUACCGCAUAUGACCACGUCCCGGCUAGGGGAUGAGGUGAAAGGUGCCCUCUACUUGUAAGGUGCCGUUUUAAGAUGAGUCUAUGUACCAUUAGCUAGUUGGUAGGGUAAUGGCCUACCAAGGCUGAGAUGGUUAGCUGGUCUGAGAGGACGACCAGCCACACUGGAACUGGGACACGGUCCAGACUCCUACGGGAGGCAGCAGUGGGGGAUAUUGCACAAUGGGGGAAACCCUGAUGCAGCGACGCUGCGUGAGCGAUGAAGGCCUUCGGGUUGUAAAGCUCUGUCAAUUGGGGCGAAGAUUAAUAUGUUAACAGCAUGUUGAUUUGACAGUACCAAUAAAGGAAACACCGGCUAACUCUGUGCCAGCAGCCGCCGUAA
Molecule: ribosomal RNA, 518 nt
Filed under: uncultured bacterium
Lineage: Bacteria
Description: partial 16S ribosomal RNA
Rfam family: Bacterial small subunit ribosomal RNA
Source: RNAcentral